UGGAACUGUAUAUACGGGCUUUUGGCCAAG
RNAcentral lists this non-coding RNA (30 nucleotides) under Bombyx mori (domestic silkworm). The record is from RNAcentral. Lineage: Eukaryota; Metazoa; Arthropoda; Insecta; Lepidoptera; Bombycidae.